This 433-nucleotide ribosomal RNA is filed under the name uncultured bacterium. RNAcentral describes it as "partial 16S ribosomal RNA". It matches the Rfam family "Bacterial small subunit ribosomal RNA", at positions 29 to 507 of the family's 1533-position model. The record is from RNAcentral.
AACGAACGCUGGCGGCAUGCCUAACACAUGCAAGUCGAACGAGACCUUCGGGUCUAGUGGCGCACGGGUGCGUAACGCGUGGGAACCUGCACUUAGGUUCGGAAUAACUCCCCGAAAGGGGUGCUAAUACCGGAUAAUGUCAUCGGACCAAAGAUUUAUCGCUGUUGGGUGGGCCCGCGUUGGAUUAGCUAGUUGGUAGGGUAAAAGCCUGCCAAGGCGACGAUCCAUAGCUGGUCUGAGAGGAUGAUCAGCCACACUUGGGCUGAGACACGGCCCAGACUCCUACGGGAGGCAGCAGUAGGGAAUAUUAGACGAUGGGCGAAAGCCUGAUCCAGCAAUGCCGCGUGAGUGAUGAAGGCGUUAGGGUUGUAAAGCUCUUUUACCCGGGAUGAUAAUGACAGUACCGGGAGAAUAAGCACCGGCUAACUCCGUG